GGAGUUUGGACCGUGUCUCAGUUCCAAUGUGGGGGACCUUCCUCUCAGAACCCCUACUGAUCGCAGGCUCGGUGGGCCGUUACCCCGCCGACAACCUAAUCAGACGCAUCCCCAUCCCAUAGCGAUGAAUCUUUGCUUGACGUUAGAUGUCUGCUGUCAAGAACAUAGGGAAUUAAUCCGACUUUCGCCGGGCUAUCCUCUACUAUAGGGAAGGUUGGAUACGCGUUACUCACCCGUGCGCCGGUCGCCAUCAAUCAAAGCAAGCUUCGAUCAUGCUGCCCCUCGACUUGCAUGUGUUAAGCCUGUAGCUAGCGUUCAUC
Molecule: ribosomal RNA, 320 nt
Filed under: uncultured Prevotella sp.
Lineage: Bacteria; Pseudomonadati; Bacteroidota; Bacteroidia; Bacteroidales; Prevotellaceae
Description: partial 16S ribosomal RNA
Source: RNAcentral